RNAcentral lists this ribosomal RNA (161 nucleotides) under Escherichia coli. RNAcentral describes it as "partial 16S ribosomal RNA". It matches the Rfam family "Bacterial small subunit ribosomal RNA", at positions 1 to 153 of the family's 1533-position model. Lineage: Bacteria; Pseudomonadati; Pseudomonadota; Gammaproteobacteria; Enterobacterales; Enterobacteriaceae. The record is from RNAcentral.
UUAAAUUGAAGAGUUUGAUCAUGGCUCAGAUUGAACGCUGGCGGCAGGCCUAACACAUGCAAGUCGAACGGUAACAGGAAGAAGCUUGCUUCUUUGCUGACGAGUGGCGGACGGGUGAGUAAUGUCUGGGAAACUGCCUGAUGGAGGGGGAUAACUACUGG